UCCUGCAGCGGCUUGAAUCAGUUUCCCAGAAACGCAGCUGAGAAAGAGGAAUGAGCACAAAGAAGGCAGAAAGUUUCAUCUUGUCAGUGCGGCAGCAAAGUGAACCACCAGGAGCUGACUCGCCUUUUAUAUACAAGUGCCUCUGGUUGCGUCAACUUUGUACCACCGGUCGUCUAAUUCAUGGGUGAAUUCCACCUUGUUGUGACAUGAUGAUGGUGCUCAUCUACAUCUCCAGCUGUAUACGUGAUGGAGGCUGAGGAUUGAGUGGAUGAUCAGGCUGCUGAUGAGCUUCACUCUGAAUCCUGACCUCCUCCUUCUGCUUCAGUGGUUUCUGACUUCAUAAUUUGGUCACCAUGGCAACCAUAGAGAUGAUUGAGGUCCCUAAUUUGACUUUCUGAGAAUCACACUGAUGCUGAACAUCAGGCUGUUAACUGCAGAGCAUCAGACCUUAUCUGUGAUCCUCCCGACAGUUUCUCUCCUAACUCCUGGUAAGAGUUCACAGAGGACUUCAGCUUCUUGCAGCUGCUCCUGCUGAUAGAUGUCAUUGCUGUCUUCUCCCUCUGCACUGGCUGCUACGUCUUCUUUGUUUCUGCUUUUCUCUUUAUCAUGACUGUGACUCUGGCAGCUGUGCUGAAAAUAUGAUUGUUCUCCUUAUAAUAAAAGCUGGAAGCUGAAAA
Molecule: long non-coding RNA, 677 nt
Organism: Pundamilia nyererei
Lineage: Eukaryota; Metazoa; Chordata; Actinopteri; Cichliformes; Cichlidae
Exons: 4
Source: RefSeq, a predicted model, not a curated record